This is a non-coding RNA of Deltaproteobacteria bacterium, 180 nucleotides long. Lineage: Bacteria; Pseudomonadati; Myxococcota; Myxococcia. The record is from Rfam.
UUUCCCCUGCUGUGUUCGUGAUCGGGAGAGGCAACUUAGAACCAACAAAGAAAGAAGGGAAGCUGUCCCUUGCCGUGGCUGUCAGGCCCUGGUUUCGGGGAAGACUUAAGCGGCAAUACGGCAUCCACCUGUUUACCCGGUUCAAGUUGAUCGCCUGACACGGCACCGUGCGGGGGAAAC